This is a long non-coding RNA of Marmota monax (woodchuck), 5428 nucleotides long. RefSeq lists it as uncharacterized. The transcript is spliced from 4 exons. The record is from RefSeq and is a predicted model, not a curated record. NCBI's taxonomy places the organism in Eukaryota, Metazoa, Chordata, Mammalia, Rodentia, Sciuridae.
GGGAAAGAGGCCCUGGGCCGAGACAGAGGCGUGAGGCCAGGAGGCCCGUGAGGCCAGGAGGCCCGUGAGGCCAGGAGGCCCCGCGGCCUGCCACCCCAACGCACCUUGUAAAAGGCCAGUGGUCCAAGCUUCGCGGUCUCCACAGCACAGUGGAAAACACCCUGCAGGAGAUGCAGACAGGACAGAGCAGAGGUGAGCCUGGCACUGGCCGGCAUAUGGCCCCAGAGCAGCCCAGGACAGCAGCCCGUGGUUAACAGGAGCUAGAAGCCCAGGGCACCAGGCCCUGCUGCGUGAGCCCUGAAGGGGCUGCGGGCAAAGAGAAGGGGUCCAGGAAAACAGGACAGCGGGGCGGGAGCGGAUGCAGCCUGAGACAGGAGGCCAGCAGGACAGGCCUCAUCCCAGGAGAAGGCACAACCCUCCCCCACCCUGGCAAGGGAAAGCCCUGCCUCAGUCCCUCCCAUCGCCAGAGGGGACACUGGCCAGCGGCCUCACCUGAUACUCCCCCUUGGAGUUCAUCAGGCGGGUUUUCAGCACGUCCAGGGGCUGGCACAGGAACGUGGCACAUCCACCCUGGGGAGGGGGCUUGUCACCAACUGGCCUGCGGGCACCUCUCAUACCCCGGCCCCACUCCAGGAGCUGUCUGCAGGCUGCAGGCUCAGGGACCUCAGGGGACACCAGGACUCAUCCUAACAAGUUCCAAUGCCCCGGAGCCACUUGUGUGACCCAGAGAGGCAGCACCAGGCUCACCCAGUGCCUCCACCUGCCCACCUCACCUCACAGGGUGCCCUCAGCCCUGGAGGCAGGGCCAGGGACCCAGCCCUUGCUAUACCGGGCACUGACCGCAAUGAAGCUGGCGAUGAAGUGGGUGAAGGUGUUGUCAGACAGGUACCCGGUGCUGAGGACCAGCUGCUUGGCCUGGUCAUAGCAGGACAGCUGCAGUGGGGGCAGGGUGGUCAGGGCCCAUCACAGCCUCAGCUGGGGAAGGCCGUGACCAAGCACCGGCUCUGCCCACCACCUACGCCAGUGCCACACUGGGGACAGGGAGGCCCAGGCCCAGACCCAGGCUGCAGCCCUGACCACCUGUGCCCACAGGACAGCAGGUGCUCUACAAUCCCCCAGGCAUGGCAAUGGUGAGGGAGGCUGCCCACAAGCCCCACCUUCCACAGGAGCCCUACCUGACCCACGGUGACGAGGGCCCCGCGGCUAGAGGCCAUCGUCGCGCCGGAGAACAGCUUCCUCAGACCCUCUGCAGGAGGAAGGCCAGCCCUGAGCACACAGCGCAGCCCGAUGCCCACAGCACCCCAGGUCCUGCACACCACUCCCCUCCUCAGGCCCCUUCCCUGGGGUCCCAGGGAGCCGGCUCCUCUCACCUUCACGCGCCACACGGUACAGGCCAUCCAGGGCAUGGGCAUAGCUGCCAGGGACACAGAAAUGGACCACCUGAGGCUCACCUUGUCCACUAGCUCCUGGGGGUCCUCCCUAGGCCCUGGGAACUGCUGGGAAACCAUGAUGGACAUGCCCCUGGGGCUCCUGCAGAAGCCUCACGAGGACAGCCCCUCCUAGCUAAGCCACCCUGCCCUGUCUGUCCUGGGGGAGGUCCUGUUUUCCCAGAGAACCCCAGGCUCGGUGUGGCUCCCACCACAGAGGUCAGCACCUGCCCUCCUCCAGGCUGGAAGGCCAGAGGGACACCAGCAAGAAACCAGAAACUGCCUGGGAGUCUCGACCAGAGAGCGAGAUGGCUCAGGCUCUGGCCAGGGAUACUGCAGGCUGCUGGGAAGGACUGGGCUGCUGCAGCAGGAGGGGUGGCUGCACCCCAACCCACGUCACCACAGCUGGCCACCCUGAGAGCGGACAGAGAGGACCCCACAGGUGAUGUGGCCUGCUGGAGUCCUGGCCAGGUGGCGCAGGGCUGCCCAGGGUACCCUGCCUAGCCCUGGCCCCUGCUGGCAGAGCCUUACCCACUACUCACUUGCGCCGCUGAUUCGAGGGCAGCUUCAUGUCGUUCUGCAUCCUGAAAUGGCAGGUAGGUAGACACGUGGCCUGAGGUCCAGGGCAGGCCCCGGGGCAUUCACGCCCCUCCACCCCAUUCCCAGACGCCAGGGUCUGAGUUGCCUGCUCCAGGGUGAGCAUACUGCAGACUCCAGCAAGCCACAGGGCAAGCCCUGGGCUGUCUGGGGACAGGAAAGGGUACACACAAACCUGACAUUGACCAAAUCCGCGGGGGUCCCCACAAAGCCUCCGGUUAAACCUGGGGCAACAGAACCAUGGGGCCACAACUUGUGACGCCUGGAGGCAUCCGCCCCAGCCAGCCCCAGCUCAGCCAGCCGUGCUCACCACUGAAGCCGCCCAGGAGCACCUUGGUGGAGAAGGGGAGAGGCCCCUGGCUGCCCCUGGCCAGGUGGUCCCGCGCUGUCUCAUAGAUGGCAAAUCGCGUCAGGGAGUAGGUCAUCUGGGGAAGAGGGCCUGGCUCAGGACAGGGCACAACCCAGCCAGCCUCAAAGGCACGGCCAACACCCUGUGGUCCCUGGGGACAUGGAGGGGCUGACCCCAGGCCACUCAGCUAGUGAGCGUGGAACCUGUCCACAAAUCUGCGGUUGCACCACCCCCACCCACCUCAGCUCCCGCCCACCUCUGUGAGUGGCAGCCUGGGGUCCAGCCCCACACCCACCCUGGGGUCACUUGCUCCACAUACACCUUGAAAAAGGCUGUAAGCAGCUUGAGCUCCCUGGUGUGCCCAGCAGGUCCAAGCUCAGGCUGCCCAGGAGGUGCCCACCUGUCUGCAGAGCGAGGCGCUCAGGCCGUUGUAGAGUGCCAGGACACCGUCAGAGCGCACCACCUGCAGCGCCAUGCCUGUCAUGCGCAGUUUCACCUCCUGCUGUGUCUGCAGGUGCACCUGGGGCAAGGGGGACAGGGACGAGGCUGUGGGGUGCUGCCUGGAGCCCCACUCCAGCGCUGAGGACCCUUCCAGGAACGACCACCGUGAGACCCCCUCAGAGACCCUCAGCUCAGCACUACCCGUGCCCCAUCUCUAAGGCAGGGACAGUGGAGUCCCCCAGGGACUGUGUGCAGGGUGUCCCCGCCACACCUACCUGCUCUGAUGGCUUAUAUCCCAUGCAGAAGCUGGGGGCCAUGGGCCACAGGCCAGCAGCCAGGCCCAGGAUCUCACUCCCCAGGUCCCACCCUUGGCACUGACCUCAAGGAAGCCUGUCCACUGCCAAGCAUGGUCCCCCUUAAACUUACCCAGGGGAGCCCCCAAAAGGAUACGGGACAGCAAACAUGGGUAGGGACCGAGGGGGGCCUGGAACCCAGAUCAGCAGCAACACUGGCCUCCCAGGCGGGACAGAGGGACUGGACCCCAGAACAGUGGCCACAUGGAUAGCAGUCCCCGUUCAUGUGACAAGCAACCACAAGGACCAAGCCAGCAUGUGGGCAGAGUGAGACAGAUCAACAAACUUCAAAACAGUUUCUCAAAUGGCCACACCCUGAGGUCCUGGUAUUAAAGCGCAAUCUGGACAGUCCCCUGCCAAGACCGGGAGCCGGUUGGCAAGUUGAGGGGCCAGCUGCAGAGGGUCUCUGGGGUUUUUCCACCCGGCCGGCAGGCCCAGGCCCUGGGCGCUGCGCAGGGCGACCGCCGCGCCGGCGCCACUAUCCUACAGCUACGACCAACACGGGGUGCGCGGCCAGAGCGUCCCGGCGGCGGCCCGGCCGGCCUCACCUUGAGCAGGUCCAGCGGGUGUGUGCAGCAGGCGGCCCCGCAGGAGGCCAGUCCUCCGAAGUACCAGCGCGACACGCGCGCCUCGGCCGCCAUGGCCCGAUUAGCUGCAGUUCGGCCUGCCCGACCCGGCCAGAUCUCGGCCGCUACCGCGACCCCGGCCGCAACCGCCCCGAGCCCGGUUCAAAGUGCCACCGCGCGCCCGCGCCCCGCGCAGCCAAUGCGCCCGCGCGGCCCGGGGGCGGGACCCGCGGGACUCCGCCCCGGCGAGAGGGCCUGCGAGCCACGUCCCAGCGGGCGGACCCAGCGUCUUAAAGUGGCCGCGGGGAGGAGCCGAGCCUGGGACUGUCCGACCGAAGUCAAAACCGGGCCCUGACCGAAUGACCACCUCCACUCCCUAUAUCCCGGCUUAAGAUGCGGCUUCCAAAAUCACUCUGCCAUACCACAUGCACUGGGAGGCUUGGCCCCUGGAAGCACCCUGGCUUCAGCGCAGCCUGAACUUGCAACCUGCACCACCUGUACCAGCUCAUGUGCCACAAAGGCGAGGCCCUCGACCCCCCCCAGCACCCCUCAACCCGCCCACUGUGGAGGCGGACAGGAAAUUUCUUUGGAGCCAGCUUGCAGAUGAAGUAAAAUCCAGGGGCAAAAACAAUUAGUUAAGACAAUUGCACCACCCUCAACGUCCAGAGCUCGCAGCAAGUGUCCAGUUCAGGCUUUGCUCUGACAGUCAACCCCAGGCAGCCACCCUGGGGGAGGCUGAGAGGUGGGUUCCAGGCCCCAGCAGGAGAAACCAACCGACAUCUAGGCUCCCACCUGACCCCACUUCCUAAUAGUGUGAGGAAACAGAUGUACUCCUGGUUCAAGGUGCACCUGAGGCAAGGUGAAACCCAAGUCCCAAGGUUGCUUUAGGGGUAAGGCUUGGCCACUAGUGCCACCCUAUUCCUGCCCAGACAUAAAGGUGAGGCACUGGAAAGAAAGCCCUGGUCUCAUGAACCAGCCAAACACCCAUAUAAGGUGACCAGCCUUGUCUGAGGGCCCAGUGACCCUCCACGUGGAUGCAGAGCAAACCCCACCAUGCCUAUGCUAGUAGCCCAUGUGAAGAUGAGGAGACUGUCUUGUAGAACUCCAGGUGGACUCUGACCCUGCGGUCAUGUCCCAGUCAAGCGCUCCUGUGUUUUCAGGUGUGUUGGGAGUACCGCCCACGCAGAGAGGUGUCGGGUGGACAGGGAAGUCACAGGAAUUGUCAGGGGGACACCAGAUGAGAGUGUGAACUGCGACCCACACCUAGCCAAGGCGGGGAACUGCAAGGAGAUGUGGAAAUGGAUUUCACAGAUACAAGACAGUUCCUUAUGGACCACUUACAGUCUGGAGCAGGUGAAAGGGAGCUGGGGAGUCCUGGACUGUGGGGAGCCACUCCAAAUGCACACACCUUGGUCCUGAUGCACCACGGGGACCUCAAAGAUCACUAUAGAGUGGCUGGUAGUGCCGUGACUCAGGACUCCAGCUUUUCCCUUGCUUGGAUAUCAAGGCAUGGCCCUAGGAGCAGGGGACGCUCAGAGGGGUUGAGCUGCACUCACCUGUCCCCUUGUAACCCUAACCCUUGCCUCAUUUGAAUGGCCUCUCCCCAAUAAAAGGGUUCAGCGCGAGCUCCUCUUUGUCUCUUUCCAUGGACCCCUAAGGUCAGAGGGGCCAUCACAGGACCCAAAGAUAAAGGUC